Molecule: ribosomal RNA, 440 nt
Filed under: uncultured bacterium
Lineage: Bacteria
Description: partial 16S ribosomal RNA
Rfam family: Bacterial small subunit ribosomal RNA
Source: RNAcentral
CCUACGUGUGGCAGCAGUGGGGAAUAUUGCACAAUGGGGGAAACCCUGAUGCAGCGACGCCGCGUGAGUGAAUAAGUAUUUCGUUACGUAAAGCUCUAUCAGCAGGGAAGAAAAUGACGGUACCUGACUAAGCAGCCCCGACUAACUACGUUCCAGCAGCCGCGGUAAUCCGGAGGGGGCAAGCGUUAUCCGGAUUUACUUGGUGUAAAGGGAGCGUAUACGGCAGGGCAAGUCUGGAUUGAAAUCCCAUGGCUUAACCAUGGGACUGGGUUGGAAACUGUGCAGCUGGAGUGCAGGAGAGGUAAGCGGAAUUCCUAGUGUAGCGGUGAAAUGCGUAGAUAUUAGGAGGAACACCAGUGGCGAAGGCGGCUUACUGGACUGUAACUGACGUUGAGGCUCGAAAGCGUGGGGAGCAAACAGGAUUAGAUACCCGAGUAGUC